AUUGAACGCUGGCGGCAUGCUUUACACAUGCAAGUCGGACGGCAGCGGGGAGGAGCUUGCUUCUCUGCCGGCGAGUGGCGAACGGGUGAGUAAUACAUCGGAACGUGUCGAGAAGAGGGGGAUAACCACCCGAAAGGGUGGCUAAUACCGCAUAAAUUCUGAGGAAGAAAGCUGGGGACCUAGGAAUAGGCCUAGCGCUUUUUGAGCGGCCGAUGUCGGAUUAGCUAGUUGGUGAGGUAAAGGCUCACCAAGGCGAAGAUCUGUAGCGGGUCUGAGAGGAUGAUCCGCCACACUGGGACUGAGACACGGCCCAGACUCCUACGGGAGGCAGCAGUGGGGAAUUUUGGACAAUGGGGGCAACCCUGAUCCAGCCAUGCCGCGUGUAUGAAGAAGGCCUUAGGGUUGUAAAGUACUUUUGUUAGGGAAGAAAAGUCAGCUGUGAAUAAUGGCUGAUACUGACGGUACCUAAAGAAUAAGCACCGGCUAACUACGUG
RNAcentral lists this ribosomal RNA (494 nucleotides) under uncultured bacterium. RNAcentral describes it as "partial 16S ribosomal RNA". It matches the Rfam family "Bacterial small subunit ribosomal RNA", at positions 30 to 507 of the family's 1533-position model. The record is from RNAcentral.